RNAcentral lists this ribosomal RNA (301 nucleotides) under uncultured bacterium. Its description in RNAcentral is "partial 16S ribosomal RNA". It matches the Rfam family "Bacterial small subunit ribosomal RNA", at positions 509 to 807 of the family's 1533-position model. The record is from RNAcentral.
CAGCAGCCGCGGUAAUACGGAGGGGGCUAGCGUUGUUCGGAAUUACUGGGCGUAAAGCGCACGUAGGCGGCUUGGUAAGUUAGAGGUGAAAGCCCGGAGCUCAACUCCGGAAUUGCCUUUAAGACUGCCGAGCUAGCAGGUGAGAGAGGUAAGUGGAAUUCCGAGUGUAGAGGUGAAAUUCGUAGAUAUUCGGAAGAACACCAGUGGCGAAGGCGGCUUACUGGCUCAUACUGGACGCUGAGGUGCGAAAGCGUGGGGAGCAAACAGGAUUAGAUACCCGUGUAGUCCCUGUCUCUUAUAC